GCCGAGUGCAGUGACGCUCACCUGUAAUCCCAAAGGCUUAGGAGGCUGAGGCAGGAGGAUUGAGAGUUCAAAGCCAGCCUCAGCAAUUUAGCAAGGCCCUAAGUAACUUAGCGAGACCCUGUCUCUA
RNAcentral lists this small RNA (127 nucleotides) under Marmota monax (woodchuck). Lineage: Eukaryota; Metazoa; Chordata; Mammalia; Rodentia; Sciuridae. The record is from RNAcentral.